GCCGUUUGAGAAGCAUCGCUUGUUGUUGAAGUCAAGUGAGCCCAGUUUUAAUAUUAAACAGGGACCUGUUUCCAGGAACAUUUUGAAAAUUUUCUGGCAGAGAAGCUGCAUUCGCAGAUAAGCCGCAGGCAAUACGACAUGGCUGAUUUGUACAACAAAGGAAACCAUAAAGAAGGUCGUAAAUCCUGUGAUCCAUACUCUGGGUUUGGUAUGGUGUACGACAAAGGAGGUCCUCUUUGCCACCCAUGGGCAGUCAUUAUCUCCGUGCAGCCCACCUUUACAAUUGACCAGUGCUGGGUGCUUCUUCGACUCUGCCAGCUCCUAACAGUUUUCUGUUCAACCAGAUGACCCUGUACCGUCGAGAAGCCCAUCUUCAUCCCAUCCGAGCAUCUGUGACGGCUCUCGAUGGCAUCUUUGCACGCAUCCCAGAGCACUCACUUGCUGAGCUUGUGGCGUCCAUAACAACUUGCUUUGCUGCCAUAUUCUUGCCAGUGUUUUCGAAAAAGGACAGUGGACACUGGUGGAAAAAAUCGCCUGUCUCUGCUUCUUGCAGCACAGAGCAAGCGGCACUUCAUUUCGGGUACACCUUGUGGGGUGCCCUCCGUUAUCAGAAUCUGACACACUGCUAGUAGUGUUGGCCAGGGCAAUAUUGUGCCCUAAUGUCUCAGGUACAACUUUGAUGUCCAGGUAACACACUAGUUUCUUGAGUUUGUCCAUUGAUGAAGUCAUUUUUCCUGAAGCAUUCACAGAGCGGAAUAGCUUCCCAUUCAGUUGCCGAACCUCAACUGUCCCCUCUAUCUUUCACAAUUUCAUACGAGUUGUCGCUAUUUCCUUUUUCUGCAUAAUCACCUAGGCCACUUAGUCCACAAGCUCUGUAUUUACGUCUGUCUGUACUCCCACUCAGCUUUUUUGUACUUUAUCUCCCUGCAGAUGGCUUGCUCCUGCCAUAUGUAACUUGUUCCAAGGGGAUUUUUGAAAUCAAUAAACUGAAUUGAAUUUAAUUUUGUGCAA
Molecule: long non-coding RNA, 1011 nt
Organism: Ornithodoros turicata
Lineage: Eukaryota; Metazoa; Arthropoda; Arachnida; Ixodida; Argasidae
Exons: 5
Source: RefSeq, a predicted model, not a curated record